UACAGAGGUCCCAAGCGUUGUUCGGAUUCAUUGGGCGUAAAGGGUGCGUAGGCGGCGCGGUAAGUCGGGUGUGAAAUCUCGGAGCUUAACUCCGAAACUGCAUUCGAUACUGCCGUGCUUGAGGACUGGAGAGGAGACUGGAAUUUACGGUGUAGCGGUGAAAUGCGUAGAUAUCGUAAGGAAGAUCAGUGGCGAAGGCGGGUCUCUGGACAGUUCCUGACGCUGAGGCACGAAGGCCAGGGGAGCAAACGGG
Molecule: ribosomal RNA, 253 nt
Filed under: uncultured bacterium
Lineage: Bacteria
Description: partial 16S ribosomal RNA
Rfam family: Bacterial small subunit ribosomal RNA
Source: RNAcentral